UUAAACUUAAAGAACACACUAAAUCCUUUGUCAAGAAAAACCAACAACUUACAAACACAAUAGCUAGGUACCUACAACUGAACAUUCUUUUUGUUUUUGUUCUUGUUUUUAUUUUGACGUAUUGGUGCCAAACAAAAAUAAAAAUAAUAGUCUCUAGACUUCACAAAAGUGUCAUAUUUGUUUUUUUUUUCUGCUAAAUUGAGAGUAUAUUGAAAGAAAACAAAGGAACAAGAUCUAGGACAUAAUCGCGAAACCACUACAGUCAGAGACAUACCAAUGAUGCAGAUGCUAUAGUCAAAAGACUAUAACUGUCAAACCCUAAGAAAAUGACUUUUCUACAAAUUUACUAAAUUUCUUAAUAGGGAAUAAUUUACAUUUGAUAAUGUUAUUACAAUCUCGAGCAGUGGUAGAGGCAGCAAAGGGUUUAUCUCCAUGGUAUAUGCGAUUUCGCUCGUUCAAUAUCUUGUAGACCAUAAUAGCCAAGCAAAGUUUUAUGAUGCACUAAGUCAUGUAAUCUAUUCGAAUGAACUGAACAUGAUGUAUAAGUUGAUCGCAGCUAAAAGAUAUCCCAAACCUAUCAGCAAAAAUAGCUCUAAAUAUAUGCGUAGAAACUCACAAUAAAAAAAGAGGUGAUCAAAUGAUUCAUUGGCUUGGUUGCAUAGGCAACACAUAUCAAGAGGCUACAUGACAAGUCCGUUAUGAAAAGCAAAUCAAAGGAGAAAAGAGGUAUCUGCAGGUUGUGUCAUACCAAUUUAUACUAACUUACAGUUGAGCCAAUACUGCGUAUGACAGCCCAAAUAGUGGAAGCUUUGACUUGAGAAUGUCCUGCCCAUAGCACUUGAUCAGGUAUGAUUGAGGGAGGAGGGAUUAAAAGGAGCUUCUGCUUCAUGAGAAGAAUGCUAGCAUAGUUCUAGGGAGGAGAAGACCAAGUACAGUUGCUUAUAAUCUCACUAACAAUGGCAUUAAACAAGAUCCCAAAAUAGAGACAAUGGGAUCGAGGGGUGCCGAGUAAGAGGUUGGUUUUCCAGCCAAGGAUCCUGCCACAGUCUAAUACCCGGACCAUUUCCAACUUUGUAUUCAAUAAAACGAACAACUAAUUUCCCAAGGUUCAAGACCUUUCUCCAAAUACAAGAAGCAUCAUAGGGGACGGGAGUAGUCCAAAAAUUGUGCUUUAAAAUCAUAGUCUUUCGAACCCAUUCUGCCCAAAAAGAGGUAGAAUUAAAAC
This 1225-nucleotide long non-coding RNA is filed under the name Panax ginseng (ginseng). RNAcentral describes it as "long non-coding RNA (PGIN_LNC009608)". Lineage: Eukaryota; Viridiplantae; Streptophyta; Magnoliopsida; Apiales; Araliaceae. The record is from RNAcentral.